UGGAAGCCCACCAAUCAAAACCUGUCCUGCCAGCAUUUCCAUUUGCCAGCCUGUUCCCCCUGAUCUCUUAAAUUUUGCCCCAGAUCCUGAAUCGGGGAGACAGAUCUGAGGGCACAUGCCCCCUGUCUCUUUUCCCAAAGGCUGAUGCUGUUAUCAACUGGCCAUUUACGCGCAUCGGGCAAGACAGCCCCAAUUUUGUGCAGUAACAGCAGGUUUACACAGAAGGGAGCGUCGACACCGGACUCACAGAGUUAGAUGCAUUUAUUCUUCAACCCAAAUGGUUUUCCUCCAUUCAUCUCUUAUCAAAAGAUAAAAAUGAGAAAUGUUAAAGAGAUUGCUGAGUCAUUGUCAUUAAUCUGCAAGCUGAAGUCUGAGGCUCUGGAUCAGAGUUUUGGAAGAAGGGGUUGAACACAAGUGGAACUGGUCUAGUCCAGGGCUUCUGAACGCUACAUUUUGGAGGAAGGCCAUCUUGGGAAGUUCCAAAGUACUUUGGAAAAGAUUAUGUUGAAAGGAAUUGGCUCACGUGGUUAUGGAGGCCGAGAAGUCCCACAGUCUGCCAUCUGCAAGCUGGAGAAUCAGGAAGGCUGGUUCUGAACCCAAAGACCUGAGAACUGGGAGAGUCGAUGUCUGAAGGCAGGAGAAAACGGAUGUCCCAUCUCAGAAAUACCCUCAUGGACAAAUCCAGAAAUAAUGUUGUACCAGCUAUAUGGACAUCCCUUAGCCCAGUCAAGUUGACAAUAAAAUUAAGCAUCACACAUGGCAAGAGGAAGUUUAUUAGGGGCUUCAGAUGUUUCGGCAGCAUGUUUUCAGGGAGCGAACGCAUCUUGGAAGUUUCUUUACUGAAUGCAAUUCAGAAGAGUCUCCAAGCACCAUGUGUGAGAGAACAUGACAGAAUAGAAACUGAUUAUGCAAAAUGUGCGAGAGAGAACUGCAGCUCUUGGUGACAUGUGGCAGCCUCGCUGGGAAAGGAGAGCUGUGGAACUCCGGGUACUGUCUCAAGCUUACUGCUGCCUGUCACAAGCUGAAUGGCAGGAGAGGGUUAAAAUACGAGUUUGUGGGCUGUUGCUCACGGCCUUCUGAGGCAUUCGCAUGCUGCACACACGUGCAGGAAGUUAUCCUGAGAGACCACGCUCAGCUGCAUUCUCACAUAGAGUGACAGGAGGAUGUGUUCCACCCAAGCAAGAAAGUAAACCAAUAAAGAGGAAGAUAGAAGAUUCAGGCAACAGGAGUCAACACGGGAUCAAAGGACUUCCUAGUGUUGUAAUGAAGAGAGG
This 1274-nucleotide long non-coding RNA is filed under the name Equus caballus (horse). RNAcentral's name for it is "lncRNA (ENSECAG00000042586.2)". The record is from RNAcentral. Lineage: Eukaryota; Metazoa; Chordata; Mammalia; Perissodactyla; Equidae.